UACGAAGGGUGCAAGCGUUGUUCGGAUUUAUUGGGCGUAAAGCGCGCGCAGGCGGGUUUUUAAGUCAGAUGUGAAAUCUCGGGGCUCAACCCCGAAACUGCGUCUGAAACUGGAGACCUAGAAUGAUGGAGGGGGAAGCGGAAUUUCGCAUGUAGGGGUAAAAUCCGUAGAGAUGCGAAGGAACACCAGAGCCGAAGGGGGCUUCCUGGCCAUUCAUUGACGCUGAGGCGCGAAAGCGUGGGGAGCAAACAGG
Molecule: ribosomal RNA, 253 nt
Filed under: uncultured bacterium
Lineage: Bacteria
Description: partial 16S ribosomal RNA
Rfam family: Bacterial small subunit ribosomal RNA
Source: RNAcentral